GGAGUACGCCGGCAACGGUGAAACUCAAAGGAAUUGACGGGGGCCCGCACAAGCGGAGGAACAUGUGGUNUAAUUCGAUGAUACGCGAGGAACCUUACCCGGGCUCAAACGCAUAAUGACGACAGUUGAAAGAUUGUUUCCCCUCGGGGCAUUAUGCGAGGUGCUGCAUGGUUGUCGUCAGCUCGUGCCGUGAGGUGUCGGCUUAAGUGCCAUAACGAGCGCAACCCCUAUCGACAGUUGCUAACGAGUAAAGUCGAGGACUCUGUCGAGACUGCCGGCGCAAGCUGUGAGGAAGGCGGGGAUGACGUCAAAUCAGCACGGCCCUUACGUCCGGGGCGACACACGUGUUACAAUGGCAGGGACAGCGGGAAGCCACCAAGCGAUUGGGCGCGGAACCCGAAACCCUGUCUCAGUUCGGAUUGGAGUCUGCAACUCGACUCCAUGAAGCUGGAUUCGCUAGUAAUCGCGCAUCAGCCAUGGCGCGGUGAAUACGUUCCCGGGCCUUGUACACACCGCCCGUCAAGCCAUGGGAGUCGGGAGUGCCUGAAGUUCGUGACCGUAUAGGAGCGACCUAGGGCAAGACUGAUGACUGGGGCUAAGUCGUAACAAGGUAGCCGU
Molecule: ribosomal RNA, 618 nt
Filed under: uncultured bacterium
Lineage: Bacteria
Description: bacterial SSU rRNA
Rfam family: Bacterial small subunit ribosomal RNA
Source: RNAcentral